AAACCUCCGCCCCGCCCAUUUUGUUGCGUCACAGACUGCAAGGGGUGUUGCCAUGGCGACCGCGUCGCUCACCGACAACCCGUCACUUCGCCACACAGUGGAUUGAAAGGGAACUCAUUCGGUCAAGAACGAGUUUGAGGUGAAUACAAAUUAUAUUAUAGUAGUGGCUAUACAAGCGUGUCUGACAAGGAAACAGCAACCUGCAUGCCACGGGGAUUGUGAACUUGCGCAGACUGAGGGCCACGAGGUUACUUUGACAUAUCUUGUCCAUCUUAUGCCAUCAGACGAAGGCGACGGCAGUAGCUGAAACAUGCAAAUAAAAUAAAACCUCUUUCGGUCAUAUACAACCAACAGGAACCUUAUUACGUCAAGUAACGACAUGAACCUCGGUACACUCGGACCCCACAGCAAUGCAUGGAUCAGAUGAAGAAACCCCUGAUCAAGAUGAUGCCAUUGAGGAGCAGCUUUACAAAGCACAAAGGAUGCACGUCGACGUCUUGCUCGAGAUGAGCGAGGAAGCCUUUUUAAAAGAACUGGAGCCACACGAGUAUCAUUGCUACUGCGGUUGGGAAGAGGCCGUGCGGGGCUGGGACAGAGUUGCUCCAGUUAGCUGCAUUAUUCUUCCGCAAAAGAAAGACAAGAAACCAAAGCUGCGUAAGGAGACAACAGACAACCCGCCCUCCUCGCACGCGGAGACAUUUCAUGGCGACACAAUAGCCAUCAGUGGAGAGCAUUGUAGCGAAUCCCAAUCAAGCCCUCAUUACUUUAAAAAAUCCACAUCGUCAAGUCAUUCCCCAGAAUGCCAUGCACUGGAUGGCGCAGAAGAAGACUCGUCACAUCUUCUACAUGAAGAGAGGGGGCACGUCAGCGGGAUUCCUUUGCACCUCCAACACUUAUCCCCAAAUAUGUCCAAGGGCAGGCCAUCCAAACCCAUAAAACGCCAAACCAAAAGCAAAGUUGUUCCCAUCACAAACUUCACAUUUUUACCUCCAAUGAAAUGACGGACCAACCAGGUCAGCUCUAUAUGCCAUGAAUAGCUCAGGAACAUUUAUAAGAAAUGUGGACUUCGAAAUAAAGCCAAAGAUGUCAGCAAGUUUUUUUUUUUUUUUAAACAAGGACUCACAUGCCAAUGUUUCUGAGCUUUUUACACCUCUAAAAAAACAGCUACAAUAUGAUUUGGACUGUCACUUAGCAGCACCAAUGUUUCCUGCCCACGCAUAAUAAACUAUAAUGACUGAUUUGGGAUUGUCGUUAACAGCUAAGCCCCCGUGCUUUGUCAGUUUAAUUAGAACGCAACAUCAAAAUGGAUAUGAGCUCUUGUCAGACCACCCCAUCACAGCAAGUCUCUUCGUUGAGACCAUUAUGGACAUCUUUUCUUCAAAAGCGUUCAGAAUGUCUACUCAAAAUUUUCAAAUGCUUAUUUUAAUUUGUUUUAAUCUGAAGAGCACAUAAGGCAAUUUUUAUAGUUUAAAAUGAGGACAACUAUUCCAUUCCAGCAGUUUAUUAGGAACUUCUGUUGUUAAGCUGCAACAUGUAAUCAAGGCAACAUGUACAAUUCUAUACUAAACAAAGCAUAUUGUGCCAUGAAAAUACAUGCAAGGAAAUGCUUUGUAGUUAAGAACAAAAGUAGUAACAUGAGUCUAAUUGUUCUUAUGCUUAUGUCGAAACGCAAACUAAGUACUCAAUAAAAUGUUGUAAUUGAA
Molecule: RNA transcript, 1703 nt
Organism: Syngnathus acus (greater pipefish)
Lineage: Eukaryota; Metazoa; Chordata; Actinopteri; Syngnathiformes; Syngnathidae
Exons: 4
Source: RefSeq, a predicted model, not a curated record